AUCGGUCCGAGGUGUAAGCGUGGCAACACGUUCAGCUGACGGAUACGAAUCGGUCGAGGACUUCUCCUG
This 69-nucleotide ribosomal RNA is filed under the name Paludifilum halophilum. RNAcentral describes it as "partial 23S ribosomal RNA". Lineage: Bacteria; Bacillati; Bacillota; Bacilli; Caryophanales; Thermoactinomycetaceae. The record is from RNAcentral.